AUAUAAAGCACAGCUCAAAGCCGCUCUCUUCACAGCACUGUGUGAUGAGUUCUCGCUCUUUGGCACUCAAGUUAAUAGAUGCGUAAGUCAGUUUUACUACUUAACCUGAGAUAAGUAAGUUUUUACUAAAUAUUUUAAAUGUAAAAAAUUGUGUUUGUGUUAAACAAUCGUAUUUUGUGUUUCUCUGUUUUAGGUGACAAAAUGUCUGGUAAUAUUUCUAUAAUAUCUGCAUGUGCAAACUGUCUCUCAAGUUUCUGUAAUAUUCAAAUACAUACUGACUUUAAUAUUACAGUUGCAAUUUCCAUAAACUGCAUGGCUUGUUGAAUGCAAAUUACAACUGGUGUGGAAUUAUUUAAUUAUGUAUGUGUAAAAUAUUAUAAAAAUGUAUGCAAUGGAAGUCGCUUUGGAUAAAAGCAUAUGGCAUCAUUUAUUAUUAUUAUUAUUAUUAUUGUUAUUGUUAUUGUUGUUAUUAUUUAGAAUAAUCACACAAUUUUGAAGUAACUUGCUUAUUGUAUAUUUUUACUGAUAUAAUAAUUAGUAAUUUCCUAAAUGUCUGACUGACAACUUCUUUUGCACUAAGUGAUAACGUAUAGAACCAUUGCAUUUUUGAUAUAUAUAAAUUUAUUCUCAUUUAUUCAAUCAAGAUUAUUUAUUUAUUUAUUUAUUUUAAAUGCAUUUUUUUUUUAUUUUGUAAAUGCUAGACUUAUUUUUUUACUUUGUAAAUGCUUGGCUUAUUGACUUAUUGACUUAUUGCUAAUUAUAGGCCUUUGUAUUUUCUGUAGGCUAACUAUACAUGUCAAGCAAUAAUUAUAAUUACAAUAUAAUAAUAUUAAUAAUAAUAAUAAUAGCAAUAACACAUUACUAUAUUAUUAUUAUUAUUAAUAGUAGUAGUAGUAUGUCAUUCUUUCUUUCUUUCUUUCUUUUGGUUGAUUCAGAUUGUUCAGCACUCUUCCAUGUGGUGUUUGUCUGCAAUAUUGUGAUUUUGUUCUUCAGUGGAAUCGUGAACAUAAUUCUAUGUGACAGACUGAGGAGAAAAAAAUGUGAACUGUGUGCUGCACAUCGGAGGAGGCUUCAUCUGGCUGUCCCUCAUCAACUAAACUCAGCAUCUGAUGAUCAAGAGAGUAUGGACCUUAACUACACAAUGCUACAGUUCCCGAAGACAACACGAAAGCAGCAAGCUCAGAGAAUGAGCAGAUAGAGAAGAGCAGAAGCAUCACAGUCUAUUCCAGCCUUAAAUAUCAAAUAUCAAACAUCACUGAGGAGAACUAAGUCCGAAUUUUCAGGUGACCACUAGACAUAAAUAUAUAUACAGAACAUAAAUCACAAAUGUAUUUAUGAUGUGGACAUAAUUGUGAAUUUUUACUUGUUUAUUCAUUUUUUAUUACACAAAUAUAUUGCUCCUCUUUAUUUGUGUCACUAUGAUCUUGAAUUUCUUCUAGUGGUUCCUCAACCAUACAUCAAACAGAUUCUUUAUUAGUAAUGUUCAAAUUCACAGUUGCAGCAGUAUAUGUAUACACAAUAAACAUAAAAAAUACACAAUACAAAAAUGUGCAAAUGAUGCAAAUAUAGACUACAUAGACAAAAUACAAGAGAACUAAACAUUCACUAGCCUAUGUCAAACAGUAAUUUUAAGUGGUUGUAUUUUCACCAUCUAAGAAAUCAACAACAUGUUGGGCCUAGCCUAUAUUCUGUAGAUUGUGUUUAAUACAUGUAUUUUAUUUCAGAUCGCUGCAUUUUCUACAUCCAGACUGCAGCAACUCUAUAUUCUGAAGAGCAAAUCAAUUUACUACGGAAAAAGUAGCUAACAUUUGCAGACAAAGCCUCUGAUUUGCGUGCAUGCAACCUGGUCUCAUAAAAAUACGUAGCCUACCUCUGUGCACUUUUUGUGCGACACCGUUUUACGUACCUUGCUGCACGUUUCGCCGCAGUUUGAAAUAGAAAUGUCCACUGAGUGGCGCUAAAACACAGGUUCAAUAUGUGAACCCUGGCACGUUUUUAUUACGUAGAUAUUGGUACGUAUUGCUGUUUUUUUAUUACGUUGCUUCAGAUUGUAUUGCGGCGGUUCAGAAUUCAAAUAUCCGGGGACUGUCGCUAAAGGUUAAUGCUCUAUCGUGUUGGCAAUAUGCCCUACACCAAAUCCAACCCUAAACCUACCCGAUAGUGUUAACAAAUGCAAUUUUAACUGCUUUGUCGAACCGUAGUUACACGGGAUUCGAACCGGUGCUUCUCCUCUCCUAAAUCCGUCGCCGUACUCCGUGAGCUACUGAACAAACUUGCUAUUUAUGAAAACCCAUAGAUACGAAGCUGGAUGUGUGCGAUGCUAACGUUCAAAAGCAUUAGUUUUCAAAUCUCCCAGCAUAUUAAUAUUGAUUUGAAGUCAUAGCAUGAUAUUCUUCAAGUAAUUGUGCGAAAAUUACGCUUUAUUAAUCGCAACUCUGUAAAUUUAUUUUGGAAACUGCAGUGAUAUGUACUUAUUGGUACGUAUUUCAUGUCACGCUAAAAAGUGCACCCAGGUGCGUAAAUGCCAUGAGACCAGGUAGAAAAUAUGCCAGCAUGCACGAUAAAACCAGGAAAAUGGCAAAGAAAUCCAUCGUGCACUGCCUACGCAAAAAAUGUUCUCCAUAAGUGUCGCUUCAGGGACUCCGUUAUUCGCACACUUCAUCUGAAUAUUUUGUGUACUAUGGCUAUGGUUGAACAAGAAAAAAUGUAAGUGUAAAAAGGCUUAUUGGUAAUAGGUUAUUGUACUUUUUUUUUUUUUUUUUUGCCUUUGUACGUUUUUGAUGUGGUAGGCACUUUUCCCCUCAGAUAUUGUGGUUGUUAUGAUGUAGGCUACCAGCAAAUGAAAACAGUUCUUUAAUAUGAAUAUAUAUAUCAUUUUAUGUGUUUAUAUAUACUGCAUGUGAGCAUAGUCUGCCAAUGUUAGUUGAUAUGUCCUCAAACACCAGACGCACCUUAUGAAGGGCUUACUUUAUUAAUUAUGUCUAGCUGUGUACUAUCACAACAUGAAAAACAAACAGAUUGAUAAAAUCAACCUUAUAUUGACAUUUCAAUAUUAAUAAAAAUGGUAUAUAGAUGGUGGAUUACACAUACUGUAUACAUGAUAUGUUAGAACUUUAAGGUCAAUGUGCAUAUUAAACAAAAAUGAAAAUUUGCUGAAAAUACUCACCCUCAGGCCAUCCAAGAUGAAAAUUAGUUUUUUCAUUGCAACAGUGUAUUUAGCAAUUUAUCAUUACACCAUGGCGUUUUCUCACUGAUGGAUUCUCUGCAGUGAAUGGGUGCCAUCAGAAAGAGAGUCUAAACAUAACUGAUAAAAACAUAACAGUAACAGAGAUGACUCCUGUGCAUCUUGUGAAGUGAAAAGCACCCAUUCACUACAAAGGAUCCACUGGUGAGCAAGUGAUGUAAUGAUAAAUUUCUCCAAAUCUGUUCUGAUGAAGAAACAAACGCUGAGUACAUUGUUGGCUUAUUUUCAUUUUUGGUUGAACUACUCCUUUAAACAUGAUAAUGCAUGUAAGGAUAUAAUCUAAUAAUAAUCUGCUUUAGUCCUUAUACAACAUGUCAGUAUAUAAAUUGUAACUAAAUAUAAUCUAAACAAUUUAUGUCUUAGAAAGCAGGAGUCAGAUUUCAGUGAACUAAUAUCAAAACAAUCUAAAGCAAAUAACUCAUAAGUAAAAGGAUUUGUAUGACCACACAUUCAUUUUGUUAAGCUAUGUAUUUGUCCAAGAUUGAUUAGUACAGUUCUGUACAUAUUUGUAUUUUUUUUAAUUAAUUGAAUUGAAUUGAAUUUUUUUUUUUUUUUUUUUUUAUGGAAUGAAAGGGAAGAUUGAGCUGGAAGCUUUUCUUCUGUAGAGUUCCAAAAAUACAAAUUUCUAUCCAGAUCUUCACAGUGCAGACUUCCAGCAGGACACUGGACCUCUCGUUCCACAGACUAGGCUUUAUAUUGAAGGUCAUCUCCGCAGACCCAGAAGCAAUGACCAGCCAUAAAGCACAGGCCAGUCGACAUAUUCUUUAGUGUCUCCAGACCAAAUCCAUAUGUAUAGUCCAACCCAGGAAAAUCAAAUUAAAAAAAUCUAACUCUGCCUUUGACCAACGCUUUAAAGGGGUCAUUAACUGAGAAAUCAAAAUUCCCAUGAUCUUUUGACAUAUAGUAGGUCAUUGUGCUAUAAAAAAACAUUCUGUAAGUUUCAGAACUCACUUUACUUCCUCGUUAGUCUAAAAACAGCUUAUAUUGAAGCCAAUCUGCCAAAACAACAGUUUUUGGAAUGUGCCACUUUAUGACGUAAUAAUGUGGCUAAACACCACCUCCACAGAAGAAGAUCAACGCCUGCUUGUACAGCACUGCCUGUUUAGCCCCACCUACUGAUUCGCGCACAUAGUAGGUAAAUGACAAAAGCUACAAAUGCAAUUCUACACAGAAACGAAAUGAUAAACUUCAUUUGAUGAACUUCAUUUUUUAAGGAAGUGCCAGACCACAUCAAUAAGUACUUGGUCCUUUGUUCACUUCAUUUUACCCCAGAUUCGUUUAAAAUUCACAAUUCGGCACAAUUCGACACAGAAUUUUCAAAAAGACUGAAACUAAAAGACUAUGCUGUGUUGAAUAUAUUGGACCACAUAAGUGUGAGUGAGUAACUGUUUUCAUUACAUGAUCAGUAGUGCUUUGUCUGUUAUUAUAGAUAAUUUCAGGGACGUGCAGAGAGUUCCUCAGGGGCAGGGGCUCAAAUGUAAAAUAGGGGCAAUGUAAAAAAAAA
Long non-coding RNA from Onychostoma macrolepis, 4748 nucleotides. RefSeq lists it as uncharacterized. Lineage: Eukaryota; Metazoa; Chordata; Actinopteri; Cypriniformes; Cyprinidae. The transcript has 3 exons. The record is from RefSeq and is a predicted model, not a curated record.